This 1502-nucleotide unclassified non-coding RNA is filed under the name uncultured fungus. Its description in RNAcentral is "sequence contains 18S rRNA gene, ITS1, 5.8S rRNA gene, ITS2, 28S rRNA gene". The stretch from base 548 to 1502 matches the Rfam family "Eukaryotic large subunit ribosomal RNA", at positions 1 to 961 of the family's 3401-position model. The record is from RNAcentral. Lineage: Eukaryota; Fungi.
GGAAGGAUCAUUACAGAAUGUAACCAUUUUGGUACACUCUUAUUAUCCCUUUGUCUACCCUUCCCUGUUGCUUCCAUGGUGCCAGCCAAUUUUUGGCUCUGGACAGGUACUAAAACCACCUGUUUGGAAGUGCCCAUGGGUGUCCCUCGGUGACAUUUGUACCCGGGGGACUUUUUUUAAAAUCUGAAAUGACGAAAUUGUCUGAAUACAUUUAAAUUUAAAAUAAAACUUUCAACAACGGAUCUCUAGGCUCUUGCAUCGAUGAAGAACGCAGUGAAAUGUGAUGAGUAAUGUGAAUUGCAGAAUCUCGUGAAUCAUUGAAUCUUUGAACGCACAUUGCGCCCUAUGGCUAUUCCGUAGGGCAUGCCUGUCUCAGUGUCAUUUAACACCUCUCAAGCUUCUUUGCUUGGAUUCUUUGGGGUAUGCGGUGAAUAAUCGCAGCCCAGAAAACUAUAGGCAGUAUACUAGUGUAUGGCAGAUAGUAAUAAUAAUUAUCAUCUGUGUAAGCUAGUGGACUUUGCCAGGAAUUGAAUUUAUUUUAUGAAGUUGACCUGAGAUCAGGUAGGGAUACCCGCUGAACUUAAGCAUAUCAAUAAGCGGAGGAAAAGAAACCAACAGGGAUUGCCCUAGUAACGGCGAGUGAAGCGGCAAAAGCUCAGAUUUGAAAUCCGAGGCUCGUUUGGGUCUCUGAGUUGUAAUCUGUAGAGGAGGUCUUUAGAUCAGACAUUGGUCCAAGUCCCUUGGAAGAGGGUGUCAUAGAGGGUGAGAAUCCCGUGCAUGGCCUUUGCUCUGUGUCUUUAUAAGUCCUUCUUCAACGAGUCGAGUUGUUUGGGAAUGCAGCUCUAAAUGGGUGGUAAAUUCCAUCUAAAGCUAAAUAUUGGCAAGAGACCGAUAGCGCACAAGUAGAGUAAUCGAAAGAUGAAAAGAACUCUGGACAGAGAGUUAAAUAGUACGUGAAAUUGUUGAAAGGGAAGCACUUGCCACCAGACUUAGGCACGGGCAGAUCAGGUUUCGGUUUCCGGAGCUGCACUCUGUCUUGCCGUGGUCAGCAUCAGUUUCUGCGGCGGGAAAAAGGUGGGAGGAAUGUAGCUUCUUCUUCGGAAGAAGUGUUAUAGCCUUCUGCUACAACUGCCUGUAGAGACUGAGGAUUGCUCCGUUGGGACGGAUGCUGACUUAAUGGUUGUAAGUGACCCGUCUUGAAACACGGACCAAGGAGUCUAACAUCUAUGCGAGUAUUUGGGUGAUAAAACCCUUAUGCGUAAUGAAAGUGAAUGUAGGUGGGAAUCCGUACGGAUGCACCAUCGACCGAUCCUGAUGUUUUCGGAUGGAUUUGAGUAGGAGCAUAGCUGUUGGGACCCGAAAGAUGGUGAACUAUGCCUGAAUAGGGUGAAGCCAGAGGAAACUCUGGUGGAGGCUCGCAGCGGUUCUGACGUGCAAAUCGAUCGUCAAAUUUGGGUAUAGGGGCGAAAGACUAAUCGAACCAUCUAGUAGCUGGUUCCGGC